AGGGGUUCUAGUUUUUGUCAAAUGAAUGGAUUAGUAUUUAAUGCUCAGUGAAUGUUGGCUAAGUGAAUUAGUAGGUAAGGCAUUCUAGUUUUGGCCCUUCUCCCCACCUUUCCUAAGAAGCCGGGACUCCUGACCACUUCAAACUUGGCCAGUUUUGGGGCAUUCCGUUAGAAUUCUCAGAAUGAAUCAUCAACAAUGACAUGGAGCCCUGUCUCAGGCAAUUUAAUAGAAAAGUAUCCAGCUGGAAAAUCAGAGAUAGCUCAAAAAGCUAGAGAAGGUUUUCAAAUGGUGUCAGUAGUGAAGAGACAGAACUGUGAUCAUGUGAAUGCUUAUUUUGGAGGAUUUUCUAAAUGCUUCAGGGAAGGAGUGUGUGUGUGUGUGUGUGUGUGUGUGUGUGUGUGCGCAUGUGUGCAUGUGUGCAAAGGUGGGAAAAUCCUAGAGGCAUAGAUCAUAGUGACAUAGAUGGAGGACAAGAACAGACACUUCUUUAUACAUUUAAAGACUGCUCCAUUUUUAUCACAAAUGCGAAAAGUCUGGUGACUUUGAGUUACUGCAGUGCUCGGUACAGGAGUAAUUUCUGCAGAACUGAUAAUCCAUUGAUCUGGAUAAGGCCGAGUAGACUGGAAUAUAGGAACCUAGAGUUGGAGGGACAUCAGGCCUCGGACUUCAAUCUAGAAUUCUUCUGGAGGUAGGAAUAAUAGCCACUUCUCUUACACUGGCCUCACAAUAAUGAAAAAAAUAUGAACAUCCUGUUUACUUAAAAAUUCAGCUUUCCUUCAGAAUGCAUUUUGAACAUUUCGAGUUCAUUUGUGAUUUUAACUGGAAUUUGAGGUCAAAGGCUUGACUGAUGACUGUGGCCAAACAUUCUAGAAAUAUAAUGAUAAAAAUAGUAAGUGCUGUUAUAAAGCAGCAACAGAGUUAGAUAUCUUCCAAAUUCAACAUUUCUUACACUCAGCAUUCCCUGUCCUGAUUUCCCAUGAAAUUUUCUGACAGUAUCACUUACUGUUAUUUGACUUGCAAGGCAUUUUACGUAUACAUUAUGUUACUGUUUUGUCAUUUUGGGUUGUUAUAACAGGACACCAGAGACUGGAUGGUUUAAUCAACAUCAAGGCAUUGGCAGAUGUGGUGGAUGGUGUAGGUGCUCUUUCUGACAGUCACUUUUCACUAUAGUUGCCAGAACAGAGAAGAAAGUUCUCUUCUUAGAAGGGCACAAAUACUGUGAGGAGGGCUCCAUUCUCAUGACCUAAUGACCUCCAAGGUCCCAUCUCCACCUAUCACAUACUGAGGAUUAGAUUUUUGUCAUCUGAAUCUGGGGAGGAUGCAACAUUUAGUUCAUAGCAAGUGCCUGGUAAAUGGUGGUUACCUUGCUAUACUCAGAGCAAUGCCUGGAGCAUGUUGAAUUCUGGUACGAAUGUUAACACUGGAUGUUACUGUUCUGUCUUUCUGCAGUGAUUCUUCCAAUUUCCCUGGAACCUGGGGGAGUCGAGGUGGCAGGGACAAGUCCAGGUUGGAAGAGUGUAGAGAUUCUAUCUCAUCUUGCAAAGAUGGCCGUCUAUUGCCUGUGGACUGAAUCUGGCCUGCUGCUUGCUUUAUAAAUAAGACUAUUGGAUCGCAGCCAGGCUCGUUUGUUUAUGUAUUGUUUAAUGCUACUCUGUGCUCUGACAGCAGAGCUGAGUAGUUUCGGCAGAGACCGUAUGGCCCACAAAACGUAAAAUAUUUACUAUCAGGCCUUUUAUGGACAAAGUAAGUGCACCAACCCAUGUUCUUCUCUGUCUCCAUAACUUUUAUGUGGGAACUGUUGAUCCUUAAAGGGGGAUCAGAUUUAAAAAUUAUUCAAUGUUUCUCAGGUGAAAAUAAAAGGAAGCAGGAGAUGGCUUACAGCCCUCUUAACUUUGGCCGCUGGGUGUCUCUCUUCCCUAAACUUUACAAGUAGGUGUCAAACCAGACAUCAGCCAACUGGGGCUGUGACAUACCAGACAAAUAUUGACAGUUGCUAAGGCAACCGGGGUAAAGUAUUGGCCAGAGGAUAAUAUAGGCGCCAACUGUGCAUGCCAAGUUUCUCACAUAGGGGAGAUACAAAGACAGAAAAAUGAAUGAAAAAAUAACAUUUCAAGACCUCGCCUCAACUGUGGCUUAAGAAUCACUUACAGCUGAUGUUUAUCUUAAAUCCUCUGCUCCCCUCUUCCAAUUUUUCUAGAAAUUAACGCCUUGAGGACUUGGAGGCCCUGUCAACUCUAAUGUAUCCCAAGAGGGGAAUCUGUUUGGGUAUCAGUUCUUUUUUCCAGGCGUGUUUGGAGUUUACUUUUCCAAAUCGUAUUGUAACGUCAUGGCUAACUGUAAGGCCACGUGUGUUUCUUGGCUUGUGUGCUGUUGUCACGUACGUGGUUUCUGCAGUACUUUCUGUCAGAGAUUUCUCAUUAUCCUACCUUGGGAAUAAUUGGCCUGCUUUUUGUCUUUGCCUCGUGGAACAUGGUGUGAAAGGGUUUUUAUCUGUGGUUAAGCUUAAGCGUUGACCUUAUGCUUUUGCCUUUAUGCUAGUGCAGGGCUUUUCAACAAUGACGCUGUUGAAGUUGGGGACAGACACUUCCUCUCGGUGGAAGAGUGUCCCACGUAAGGUGUUUCCAAUCAUCCCUGGCCUUUAUCUGCUAAAGGCCAGGGGCAGCUCUUCCAUACUGUUUUGAUUGAAAAUAUGUCUCAGUGUUAUCAAGCAUUCUUUGGAAAACAGAAUGGGCCCUGGUUGAGAUUACUAAACGAGGUAAAUCCUAAACCAUUUCUUCUCUGCAUUAUCCUUAAAGCAUUCUCCACUGGAACUCAAAUGUCAAAACACUAAUGGGAGAAAUUGUGGAAACUCAAUUCUCCAAAUUGUAAUGGAGAAGCUCCAUGUUUCUCCAAAGUUAAAAAGGCCAGAAAUUAUAAAUAUUCAUGAAUUCAGAGAGAUCAGUCAGCAGGAGCAGCUUUCAAUGAGUGAUAUACAAGGUUAGAUCCCCCAGAGGAAAUGUUGAGGCCCUUGUCCUCAUGGAUGGUGUAGAACUCCUGCUGUGUGAGUGCUCUUGGACAGAGACAUCACUGGGGAUGGUUCCUGACCGUGCCCAAGCUUUGCUCUUCCUAAGCUUUCUCACUGAGUAAGGCUGGCUCUCUUGGUUUGAGCCAGUGGAACUGAUUAUAGCAUGGCACCUAGGAAAAUUCUACAUCUGACCUUUGUCUUCUAGAAAACCAUCACCCUGUCCAUAGGCCCUGCAAACUGCCCAGAUUUGAAUUUCUCCUUGAAGGCUGAGAAAUUCCAGUUUCCCCACUGGACAGGAGGGGCUGGCUGAGGUCAUUAUGAUGAUUCGUAACAGCAUGUUGGGCAGUAACUCCCAAAGGAGCUUGAGAUAUUGAUUUUAUGCAUGUCGUGUUAAAGAUUGCGCAGUGGUAAUCCUGCUUUGUAUAUUACUUCUUGAAGUCUUUCAAUGAGAUGGCUUUGCCACCAGCAUCACUGACUCAUUCUUAUUAAUCUUUGUGAAGAGAGUUUGAUGUGUUUAAAUGAGCUCAUCCAAAUAGCAUCAGUUACCCUUCUCUGAUAUUAAGGGGAAACUGGAAUGAAGCAUGAUUUAUAGAAAAUAGAACUCUCACCCUUAUUUCUUUAUUUUUCUUGGAUGGGUCAGCCAUCUACAAAGCGGGUUAUGAUUUGCAAAGUCUGUAAAAUGUGUUGUAGAACUGUUUUGCUGUGCCUAAGCGUACUCCCCGUCUAUGACAAUGAGUUCACGUCCACUUAAUGGAAAUUGCCUUUGCUAAGUUCCCUAAGGGAGACUGGAAAGCUUUCUGGGAAAGGGCAAAAGCCGCGAAACCAGCAAGAUGCCUUUCCGGUCCUUAAAUUAAAGAUUGAAGUUGCACGAGGGAGACGUGACUGAUGGUUCUGCUGAUCUCAUUGUCAGAAAACCAGGACCUAAUGAUGGCAGCUAUGAAAUUCUUCCUAGGCUGGAGGGAAAACACAAUGGAGUUCUUUCAGUAUCUUCCACAGAAAGUGACAUGGAUCUUACAAUAGAUGAUGCAUCCUAGGCCCACUGGCAGAAUGACGCAUACAUUAAUCGUACAUCUACAAUCAGUGGCUCCUAGAGUGAGAUAAAAUUUGGAAUUACUCUUAUUACUUUUGCUAAUUUGACUAUGAGGACUAUGAAAGAAGAUGCCAGAGACUUCAGCAUUUCCUAGGCUGAUGCUCAGACUUUCAUUUUCUUGUCCUAAGGAGAACGACCCACAUCCUUUAGGAAGACUGGGACAACACUGCCAUGCUUACCCUUUGCACCUCCUGAUUAUGCCUGGAACAGCUGGCUUAAUGUAACAGUAACUUACAGUCCCUAGCUGGAAGCCCACAAAGAAUUCUUCAUUAUUCAGAGUUUAGUGAGUGCCCGCAGUACUACUGAAGUGGUAAUUGAAUUUUGUGAAGCCUCUGUGGUCAUGCCAGCAGGGCAAGGUCUGCAAGAACCAUGUGAGGUGGGCAAGAUGAAUACAUUUUCAACAAUAAUGGAUCUUCAAACCAAGCGCCACAGCACACAGCCAAAAGGACGUACUGUCUUGAUGAUUUGACUGAUGCUGUUGAGCACGGUGGAGUGAAACAUGUCCAGAAACACAAUGAUGUGUACCUAUAAGGAAGACGUCCAGGGAGAAAUCUAACCACUGCCCGGAAAUCACUACCAAUGCCUUGAUAAUCUCAUCAGGUACAGAUACGUCUAUGACAAAUUAUCUCCUUGUGGAGUCAGAAAUGUCCUUGCCUCACUGUAUAAUUGAAUCCUUGUGUGGAAAAAUAAAACUCCCCAAACAAU
Molecule: long non-coding RNA, 4799 nt
Organism: Chinchilla lanigera (long-tailed chinchilla)
Lineage: Eukaryota; Metazoa; Chordata; Mammalia; Rodentia; Chinchillidae
Exons: 4
Source: RefSeq, a predicted model, not a curated record